Molecule: transfer RNA, 66 nt
Filed under: Deronectes angusi
Lineage: Eukaryota; Metazoa; Arthropoda; Insecta; Coleoptera; Dytiscidae
Description: tRNA-Pro
Source: RNAcentral
CAGAGAAUAGUUUAAUUAAAAUUUUAAUUUUGGAGAUUAAUAAUAAAAGGAUUCUUUUUUCUCUGA